AAUAUUGAAAUGGUUGAAUGUAAUGAAUGGUGGAAUUUGAAAUUGUUAUGAAAAGUAUAUUUAUGGUUUUGUGUGCUGAAAUGAGUUAAAAAAAUAAAAUGAAAUAAAAUUCAAAUAUUUUUAAUAAAGCAAAUAAAAAUUAAAAUGCUUAUUUAUUUGUCUAUAUUUAUUUUCCUUGAAUAUUUUGAUUAAAAAACAAAAAUAAAAUGAAUUAAAACGGGCACGAAAAUGCACAAAAAAUAAAAUAAAUGCAUUAAAAUAAUCCAUGUGAAAUAUAGUUCAGUAAAAUAGACAACGCAAAUCAAACCUU
This 310-nucleotide long non-coding RNA is filed under the name Lathyrus oleraceus (garden pea). RNAcentral describes it as "Pisum sativum (pea) long non-coding RNA (PSAT_LNC012666)". Lineage: Eukaryota; Viridiplantae; Streptophyta; Magnoliopsida; Fabales; Fabaceae. The record is from RNAcentral.